Molecule: long non-coding RNA, 394 nt
Organism: Olea europaea var. sylvestris
Lineage: Eukaryota; Viridiplantae; Streptophyta; Magnoliopsida; Lamiales; Oleaceae
Exons: 3
Source: RefSeq, a predicted model, not a curated record
UCUUAGUGAACAGAAGCUUCAGAAAAGAAUGUUGCGACUGCUAGAUGGUGUUGCGGGUGAUGAUCAUGAUAUGAAAAUGGAGGGGACGAAGAAUCAAUUGAAGAAGAGUGUGUGGGCAAUAAACGGAUACGGAGGAAACUUGAAGACCUUAAAACUCUCCAUUUGAAAGAGGGGAUUUGCAAAUUCUAAGCCUUGGUUAAUCUACAUGCAUUAACACUACUGCAUGAUGAAGAAAGACUGCAGUCUUAACCAGUGGACUAUGUUGCGUGUGAAAGGAAAGAUUGUCAAAGACUGAUAAUUUCCAAGAUGAGAGAUUUAUAUGGCCGGAAGGCUAUACUGCCAUGAGGAAGUUUCAUUCAACAACAGAUCCAAGUGCAUGUACCUUAUAUAAGAU